CCUACGGGUGGCUGCAGUGAGGAAUAUUGGUCAAUGGGCGCGAGCCUGAACCAGCCAAGUCGCGUGAGGGAUGACGGUCCUACGGAUUGUAAACUUCUUUUGUCGGGGAGCAAGCGUGCGUUCGUGUACGCGCGUCGAGAGAACCCGGAGAAAAAGCAUGGGCAAACUCCGUGCCAGCAGCCGCGGUAAUACGGAGGAUGCGAGCGUGAGCCGGAUGGAUUGGGUGAAAGGGGUGCGUAGGCGGGAUGCAAAGUCAGCGGUAAAUAUGCGGGGCGCAACGCCGUCGAGCCGUUGAUACUGGCGUUCUAGAGUAGGCGAGAAGUAUGCGGAAUGCGUGGUGUAGCGGUGAAAUGCAUAGAUAUCACGCAGAACUCCGAUUGCGAAGGCAGCAUACCGGCGCCGUACUGACGCUGAGGCACGAAAGCGUGGGUAUCGAACAGGAUUAGAUACCCUUGUAGUC
This 460-nucleotide ribosomal RNA is filed under the name uncultured bacterium. RNAcentral describes it as "partial 16S ribosomal RNA". It matches the Rfam family "Bacterial small subunit ribosomal RNA", at positions 338 to 795 of the family's 1533-position model. The record is from RNAcentral.